AACCACUCACGCCCAGCGUGGUAUUGGGGCACGCGGUCUCGCGGCCCUCAAAAUUAGUGGCGGCGCCGGUGGGCUCUAAGCGUAGUACAUACUCCCGCUAUAGAGUUCCCCCGGUGGCUCGCCAGAACCCCCCGAUUUUUUACA
Molecule: unclassified non-coding RNA, 144 nt
Filed under: uncultured Phialocephala
Lineage: Eukaryota; Fungi; Ascomycota; Leotiomycetes; Helotiales
Description: sequence contains ITS2
Source: RNAcentral